GACGAACGCUGGCGGCGUGCUUAACACAUGCAAGUCGAACGGAAAGGCCCUGCUUUUGUGGGGUUCUCGAGUGGCGAACGGGUGAGUAACACGUGAGUAACCUGCCCUUGACUUUGGGAUAACUUCAGGAAACUGGGGCUAAUAUCGGAUAGGAGCUCCUGCUGCAUGGUGGGGGUUGGAAAGUUUCGGCGGUUGGGGAUGGACUCGCGGCUUAUCAGCUUGUUGGUGGGGUAGUGGCUUACCAAGGCUUUGACGGGUAGCCGGCCUGAGAGGGUGACCGGCCACAUUGGGACUGAGAUACGGACCAGACUCCUACGGGAGGCAGCAGUGGGGAAUAUUGCACAAUGGGCGGAAGCCUGAUGCAGCAGCGCCGCGUGCGGGAUGACGGCCUUCGGGUUGUAAACCGCUUUCGCCUGUGACGAAGCGUGAGUGACGGUAAUGGGUAAAGAAGCACCGGCUAACUACGUG
Molecule: ribosomal RNA, 468 nt
Filed under: uncultured bacterium
Lineage: Bacteria
Description: partial 16S ribosomal RNA
Rfam family: Bacterial small subunit ribosomal RNA
Source: RNAcentral